AACGAACGCUGGCGGCGUGCUUAAGACAUGCAAGUCGAACGGUAAGGCGAGUUACUCUUCGGAGUAACUCGCACACGAGUGGCGCACGGGUGAGUAACGCGUGGGUAAUCUGCCUUCGGGUUUGGGACAACUCCGGGAAACUGGAGCUAAUACCGAAUAAGACCACGAGAUCCUCGGAUCUUGCGGAAAAAGGUGGCCUCUUCUUGAAAGCCAUCGCCUGUUGAUGAGCCCGCGUCCCAUUAGCUUGUUGGUGAGGUAACGGCUCACCAAGGCAUCGAUGGGUAGCUGGUCUGAGAGGAUGAUCAGCCACACUGGAACUGAGACACGGUCCAGACUCCUACGGGAGGCAGCAGUCGGGAAUCUUGCACAAUGGGCGAAAGCCUGAUGCAGCAACGCCGCGUGAGGGAUGAAGGCCCUCGGGUCGUAAACCUCUGUCGGAAGGGAAGAAAGUAUUCCGGGCCAAUACCCCGGAGUAUCGACGGUACCUUCAAAGGAAGCGCCGGCUAACUCCGUGCCAGCAGCCGCGGUAAUACGGAGGGCGCGAGCGUUAUUCGGAAUUAUUGGGCGUAAAGCGCGUGUAGGCGGCUGGGAAAGUCGGAUGUGAAAGCCCGGGGCUCAACCCCGGAAUUGCAUUCGAAACUUCCCAGCUAGAGUCUCGGAGAGGAGGGCGGAAUUCCCGGUGUAGAGGUGAAAUUCGUAGAUAUCGGGAGGAACACCAGUGGCGAAGGCGGCCCUCUGGACGAUGACUGACGCUGAGACGCGAAAGCGUGGGGAGCAAACAGGAUUAGAUACCCUGGUAGUCCACGCCGUAAACGUUGGGUGCUAGGUGUCGCGGGUAUUGACCCCUGCGGUGCCGUCGUUAACGCAUUUAGCACCCCGCCUGGGGAGUACGGUCGCAAGACUAAAACUCAAAGGAAUUGACGG
RNAcentral lists this ribosomal RNA (924 nucleotides) under uncultured bacterium. Its description in RNAcentral is "bacterial SSU rRNA". It matches the Rfam family "Bacterial small subunit ribosomal RNA", at positions 28 to 916 of the family's 1533-position model. The record is from RNAcentral.